AGAUCCAAACAACAUGCCAAUCGAAAACUAGAGCGAUGCCAAUGGGAAAAUAUGUGAAACGCUGCUCAUAAAAACUGAACAAUAUUUUGCAACAUCUAUCAAUUAUACGAGUAGAACUAUAGAAGAAAUUUUUCGGAGACUUCCACAAGUUAAAUUAUGUUUUAUGUAACCGCAACAGCGUGCUGCCGCCAAGUAUUUCAAUGUUUACGAACUCGCCACAAAUGAACGAAAUUACAACAACAAUCUACACAAUGUUGCUUUGAGGGCACUUCCAUGCCGGUCUCGAUACACAUAUGUAUGUAUGUAUCCAUCAGGAUGAAGUUCCUUCCAAAACAAUUAUUUUUAUGAUCUGAACUGGCUUGUGAUGCGGUCUGCACUGCAGUUAUUUGGAUUUUGGGAACAAAAAGAGGUCACAUCUCACUAAAAAUGGCAGUAAAGCAGAGUCAACAAUGAUUUCUGAUGCGGAAACUACACUUUUGGAGCUUUAAACGAUAUUCUUGUCGUAAAAAAUCCAGGACUUUUAGUUGAAAUGCUUUUAGAAAACAGCAGAAACCGAAGUAUGUGGUAGUUAUAAAUAAGCAUCAAUCUUGAUAUAAAGGCAACGAAUUUCGGAUCCUUCGUAGUAUAAAGAUUUUACUAGCGAUGCCGCUUACGAUUCGCUUACUUACACAAUUGACUAGAUAAUAAUUAUGUGGGAACUCUGAUUAAACAGUCUUGAUUAUAACUACAUAUGUAUAUGCAUAUAGAGAUUGAAUACGUAUAUUUUUCGCUCCCACUUGUUGAUUCAAAUAAGCGAAGAAGCCAAUUAAUUAAGUAGGGAUAUACUGUGGAUUAUCAUCCAUUUUCAAAACAAUGCUAAAAGAAAUGUUUAUGCUUGUAAAAAAUAUAGGUGUUUAAUAAUAUUUUAAGAAAGCCUUUGUACGAGUAUAAUGUCAAACAAAAAUGUAAAUGAAAGUUACGCAAAUUUAAUAAAAUUAAAACAUAACAAUAAUUUAAAAAUUAAAAAAAAUUAUAUUAAAAGAAAAUUUGUUGCUUUUUGUAUUGGAAAUAGAUGUGUAAGCAGUAUGCGCUCGUUUAUUUUAUGAUCUUUUUCAGAAACAGUUCCAUAAUCAAGGCAGCAUUCUAUCGAAGGCAGAAGCAGAAGUGAGAUCUAGAAGUAAUCAAAUCACUGAUAUGAUUUUUUCUGCACAAAAAUGGUCAUAAAUUCCUUAAGGAAAAUUA
Molecule: long non-coding RNA, 1221 nt
Organism: Bactrocera dorsalis (oriental fruit fly)
Lineage: Eukaryota; Metazoa; Arthropoda; Insecta; Diptera; Tephritidae
Exons: 4
Source: RefSeq, a predicted model, not a curated record